Molecule: ribosomal RNA, 230 nt
Filed under: uncultured bacterium
Lineage: Bacteria
Description: partial 16S ribosomal RNA
Rfam family: Bacterial small subunit ribosomal RNA
Source: RNAcentral
CGGGCAGGUGGUCCGUUAAGUCGUCUGUGAAAACCCGGGGCUCAACCCCGCGGAAUGCAGGCGAUACUGGCGGACUAGAGAUCGGUAGAGGCUAGCGGAAUUCCUGGUGUAGCGGUGGAAUGCGUAGAUAUCAGGAAGAACACCCGUGGCGAAGGCGGCUAGCUGGGCCGAGUCUGACACUCAUCCGCGAAAGCGUGGGGAGCAAACAGGAUUAGAUACCCUGGUAGUCC